AUUGCACGCUGGCGGCAGGCCUAAAACAUGCACGUCGAACGAGUGGCGGACGGGUGAGUAAUGUCUGGGAAACUGACUGAUGGAGGGGGAUAACUACUGGAAACGGUAGCUACUACCGCAUACCAUCGGAUGUGCCCAGAUGGGAUUUGCUAGUAGGUGGGGUAACGGCUCCCCUAGGCGACGAGCCCUAGCUGGUAUGAGAGGAUGACCAGCCACACUGGACAUGAGACACGGUCCAGAAUCCUACGGUAGGCAGCAGUGGGGAUGAGUGCACAAUGGGCGCAAGCCUGAUGCAGCCAUGCCGCGUGUAUGAAGAAGUCCUUCGGGUUGUAAAGUACUUUCAGCGGGGAGGCGUUACCCGCAGAAGAAGCACCGGCUAACUCCGUGCCAGCAGCCGCGGUAAUUC
Molecule: ribosomal RNA, 406 nt
Filed under: uncultured bacterium
Lineage: Bacteria
Description: partial 16S ribosomal RNA
Rfam family: Bacterial small subunit ribosomal RNA
Source: RNAcentral